This 434-nucleotide ribosomal RNA is filed under the name uncultured bacterium. RNAcentral describes it as "partial 16S ribosomal RNA". It matches the Rfam family "Bacterial small subunit ribosomal RNA", at positions 341 to 792 of the family's 1533-position model. The record is from RNAcentral.
ACGGGAGGCAGCAGUGGGGGAUAUUGCACAAUGGGGGAAACCCUGAUGCAGCGACGCCGCGUGAGUGAUGAAGUAUUUCGGUAUGUAAAGCUCUAUCAGCAGGGAAGAAAAUGACGGUACCUGACUAAGAAGCUCCGGCUAAAUACGUGCCAGCAGCCGCGGUAAUACGUAUGGAGCAAGCGUUAUCCGGAUUUACUGGGUGUAAAGGGAGCGUAGGCGGCAUGGCAAGCCAGAUGUGAAAGCCCGGGGCCCAACCCCGGAACUGCAUUUGAAACUGUUAGGCUAGAGUGCCGGAGAGGUAAGCGGAAUUCCUAGUGUAGCGGUGAAAUGCGUAGAUAUUAGGAGGAACACCAGUGGCGAAGGCGGCUUACUGGACUGUAACUGACGUUGAGGCUCGAAAGCGUGGGGAGCAAACAGGAUUAGAUACCCUGGUA